GCAGACACAUUCCAGCCAAUCAGCGGCAGACCCUCCCUCCCAGACCCUCCCACCUCCUGGACAGCAUCCAUUUUACAUUCAUUGUGAAGCUGCAUUCUUAGUGAGCUGUCCAGGAGGUGGGAGGGUCUGGGAGGGAGGGUCUGCGGCUGAUUGGCUGGAAUGUGUCU
Molecule: non-coding RNA, 167 nt
Organism: Pelobates cultripes (western spadefoot toad)
Lineage: Eukaryota; Metazoa; Chordata; Amphibia; Anura; Pelobatidae
Source: the annotation of a GenBank genome assembly